CCAAUAGCGUAUAUUAAAGUUGUUGCAGUUAAAAAGCUCGUAGUUGAAUUUCGGGAUUAGUGCGCCGGUCGUGCCUUCGGUAUGUACUGGUGUUACUGGUUCCUACCUUCUGACGAACCGUCAUGUCAUUAAUUUGGUGUGGCGGGGAAUCAGGACUGUUACUUUGAAAAAAUUAGAGUGUUUAAAGCAGGCUCGCGCUUGAAUACAUUAGCAUGGAAUAAUGGAAUAGGACGUUCGAUCCUAUUUUGUUGGUUUCUAGGAUUGACGUAAUGAUUAAUAGGGAUAGUUGGGGGCAUUAGUAUUCAAUUGUCAGAGGUGAAAUUCUUGGAUUUAUUGAAGACUAACUACUGCGAAAGCAUUUGCCAAGGAUGUUUUCAUUAAUCAAGAACGAAAGUUAGGGGAUCGAAGACGAUCAGAUACCGUCGUAGUCUUAACCAUAAACUAUGCCGACUAGGGAUCGGAUGAUGUUAUUUUUAAUGACUCAUUCGGCGCCUUACG
This 498-nucleotide ribosomal RNA is filed under the name uncultured Glomeromycotina. Its description in RNAcentral is "partial small subunit ribosomal RNA". It matches the Rfam family "Eukaryotic small subunit ribosomal RNA", at positions 591 to 1092 of the family's 1831-position model. Lineage: Eukaryota; Fungi; Glomeromycota. The record is from RNAcentral.